Molecule: non-coding RNA, 654 nt
Organism: Cyanistes caeruleus (blue tit)
Lineage: Eukaryota; Metazoa; Chordata; Aves; Passeriformes; Paridae
Source: RefSeq, a predicted model, not a curated record
GGACUGAGCUGGGACUGAGCUGGGACUGAGCUGGCACUGAGCUGGGACCGAGCUGGGACUGAGCUGGGACCGAGCUGGUACCGAGCUGGGACUGAGCUGCCAGCCCCGGAGCCACAGCACUGCCUCCGUGUGUCAGCCGCCUGCCAAUGGAACCCAGCACGCUGAGAGAGAAGAGCCCUCGCUGAUGGAGGAGAUGCCCUUUCUCAGCCUGAUGCCCCAAGAUCUCCUCUCUGAUUACGAGGACAGCAGUGUCAUUCAGGAAGUGCGAAGAGAAUUAGAAAGCCUGGAGGACCAAGCGGGUUGGAAGCCUGAGCCUGACUCAGCUCAGGAGCUGGUUUUGGGAGAUGAAAUCUAAAGCCCAAGCACCAGUCUAGUUAGUUAUUUCUAGAUUUUUUUCUGUUUAGUGUCUUGCUUGUUUGAACCCUGAUCACACACUGCUGGAUAGAAGUGCAAUAAACAAGGCCUGCAAGGAGCAUCCUUCUCUCUGUCCCAGCUGCUGUGGAGUCCAUGCAGUGCCUGGACCAAAGCUCCUGCCACAGGGGAACCCCACGAGUGCCCUGCUGGAUUUGUACUUUCCCCCUGUAUGUCAGAAAUAAACUUCUCAGUACUUGUACUCAUUAAAAAAUGCACACAGGCAUAAAUCAUUUUCAAUUA